Molecule: transfer RNA, 72 nt
Filed under: Bos taurus (domestic cattle)
Lineage: Eukaryota; Metazoa; Chordata; Mammalia; Artiodactyla; Bovidae
Also listed under: 2 other names
Rfam family: tRNA
About the family: Transfer RNA (tRNA) molecules are approximately 80 nucleotides in length. Their secondary structure includes four short double-helical elements and three loops (D, anti-codon, and T loops).
Source: Rfam by way of RNAcentral
UCCCUGGUGGCUGAGUUGGUAAAGAAUCCACCUGCAAUGCGGGAGACCUGGGUUCAACCCCUGGCCUGGGAA